GUGAAAUCAAGUUUGCAAGCGGUAGGCUACGUCGAUGCGUGCCCGUUUUUUUCUCUCGUGAAACCAGUACGAAAAAAAAACUAUUUGCAAAUCGUAACACACGCACAAACGGAAGUGAGCACGGACCACGAUAGAAAUAAUCAAUUGGUUGCAGUGCCGAAAACAAAAGGACAGGAGAGGCAGGAACGAUCAUUCAACGCGUUAGCGCCGGACGAAGGAAAAGCGGCAGGAAGGCAGGAACGAUCCUCCAACGUGCUAGCGCCUGGUAGAGGAGAGGCGGCAGGAAGGUAGGGACGAUCAUCCAGCACGCUAGCGCAGCACCUGGGAGCAGCGAGGGGGAGGCAAGCAGGAAUAAUUUUUAACGCGUGCACACCAUUCGACGAAGACAACGCUGGAUGAAAGGAAGGAGGAGGAGAGAAGGCAGGCAAGACGGGUACGUGUGUAUUCCGCACCGGUUUUCGGCAGUGUGAAUUGUGUGAGUAUGUAAAUUUGUAUGUGCGAGUAAGAAGGUAAAAUAAAGAGCGUAAGCAUGUGCGGAAUCGACAAAUGAGAGAAAGAGCUUUGUAGGGAGAAUGAAGAGAAUGAAAGAAAUUGAGAAGGGAUGUAGCAUACAGAAACCAAAUGUAUGAUACACGCUGUCACACGGUUGGAAAAACCUUCUCUAUAGUUCUGCUAUAGAGAACGAUUUGACCGC
This is a long non-coding RNA of Anopheles merus, 694 nucleotides long. RefSeq lists it as uncharacterized. Lineage: Eukaryota; Metazoa; Arthropoda; Insecta; Diptera; Culicidae. The record is from RefSeq and is a predicted model, not a curated record. The transcript has 3 exons.